RNAcentral lists this ribosomal RNA (459 nucleotides) under uncultured bacterium. Its description in RNAcentral is "partial 16S ribosomal RNA". It matches the Rfam family "Bacterial small subunit ribosomal RNA", at positions 338 to 795 of the family's 1533-position model. The record is from RNAcentral.
CCUACGGGUGACUGCAGUGAGGAAUAUUGGUCAAUGGGCGGGAGCCUGAACCAGCCAAGCCGCGUGAGGGAAGAAGGUACAGCGUAUCGUAAACCUCUUUUGUCAGGGAACAAAGGCGGGGACUAGUCCCCGGAUGAGGGUACCUGAAGAAAAAGCAUUGGCUAACUCCGUGCCAGCAGCCGCGGUAAUACGGAGGAUGCGAGCGUUAUCCGGAUUUAUUGGGUUUAAAGGGUGCGCAGGCGGCCUGUUAAGUCAGCGGUAAAAGCGCGGGGCUCAACCCCGGCGAGCCGUUGAAACUGGCGGGAUUGAGUAGGAGAGAGGUACGCGGAAUGCGCGGUGUAGCGGUGAAAUGCUUAGAGAUAGCGCAGAACCCCGAUUGCGAAGGCAGCGUGCCGGCUCCACACUGACGCUGAGGCACGAAAGCGUGGGUAUCGAACAGGAUUAGAUACCCUUGUAGUC